UACGUAGGGGGCGAGCGUUGUCCGGAAUUACUGGGCGUAAAGCGCGCGCGGGCGGUUGGUCGCGUCGGUCGUGAAAGCCCCCGGCUCAACCGGGGCGGGUCGACCGAAACGGGCUGACUGGAGGGUGUCAGAGGGGGGUGGAAUUCCGGGUGGAGCGGUGAAAUGCGUAGAGAUCCGGAGGAACACCAGCGGCGAAGGCGGCCCCCUGGGGCAACCCUGACGCUGAGGCGCGAAGGCCAGGGGAGCGAACGGG
RNAcentral lists this ribosomal RNA (253 nucleotides) under uncultured bacterium. RNAcentral's name for it is "partial 16S ribosomal RNA". It matches the Rfam family "Bacterial small subunit ribosomal RNA", at positions 524 to 776 of the family's 1533-position model. The record is from RNAcentral.